This 547-nucleotide ribosomal RNA is filed under the name uncultured bacterium. RNAcentral describes it as "bacterial SSU rRNA". It matches the Rfam family "Bacterial small subunit ribosomal RNA", at positions 358 to 896 of the family's 1533-position model. The record is from RNAcentral.
GGAAUCUUCCACAAUGGGCGCAAGCCUGAUGGAGCAACACCGCGUGAGUGAAGAAGGGUUUCGGCUCGUAAAGCUCUGUUGUUAAAGAAGAACACGUAUGAGAUUAACUGUUCAUACGUUGACGGUAUUUAACCAGAAAGUCACGGCUAACUACGUGCCAGCAGCCGCGGUAAUACGUAGGUGGCAAGCGUUAUCCGGAUUUAUUGGGCGUAAAGAGAGUGCAGGCGGUUUUCUAAGUCUGAUGUGAAAGCCUUCGGCUUAACCGGAGAAGUGCAUCGGAAACUGGAUAACUUGAGUGCAGAAGAGGGUAGUGGAACUCCAUGUGUAGCGGUGGAAUGCGUAGAUAUAUGGAAGAACACCAGUGGCGAAGGCGGCUACCUGGUCUGCAACUGACGCUGAGACUCGAAGGCAUGGGUAGCGAACAGGAUUAGAUACCCUGGUAGUCCAUGCCGUAAACGAUGAGUGCUAGGUGUUGGAGGGUUUCCGCCCUUCAGUGCCGGAGCUAACGCAUUAAGCACUCCGCCUGGGGAGUACGACCGCAAGGUUG